UAAAUCUUUCAUUAAAUUUUAUAAAAUUAUUGUUAUGUCUUUAAAACUGAAUUGGAGUAAUCUUCAAGAAACUCUAUUGGUUGGACACUUUUAAUGGUCAUAGAUUCUAUAAGAAACCUUCAAUACUAGUCAACAAUAAAUUAUCCUCGCCCGUUAAUAUCUUCCAAGGAUAUGGUAAAAAAGGCUAACCUGAAAUGCUGUUAUACGUUAUAGGAACACCAGCAACAUAUCACCCCAUAGGUAUCAACAACAAUAAUAACCUUUGGAACAUCCUUCACAGAAAAAUCUUUUCCAAUAUCACUUAAGUGAUGUUUCCACAAACAAAACUUCUUGUAUAUGUAUAAUGGCUACAAAACUGAAUUCAAUCAAUCAUAAAGGAACACUUUUUGUUGGACACUCUUAAUGGUCUAAGAUAUUUUAGCCAAAGUUCAGUACCCGUCAGCUUUGAAAUACCCACUAAGGUUCUGGUAAACAUUUUCGACCUAUCUACCAGCUUAAUGGAACACCAGCAACAUGCCAUCCGCUAAAAGUAUCAAAUUCACUCAAGUGAUGUGUCCAUGGGCAAAACUUUUCCAAAAAUAAAAUCUCACAAUUUUUAUGGAUACCUUUGGCUGUUUUCAAUACCCUGCAGUGGACUGCCUAUACGUACAUUUAUAUUCUCUAGCAUUAACUUAAGAAAGUAUUAAUAGUGUAUUAAAAGUGUAUUUUUCUUAAUAAAUAAUG
Lucilia sericata (common green bottle fly) is the source of this 723-nucleotide long non-coding RNA. RefSeq lists it as uncharacterized. Lineage: Eukaryota; Metazoa; Arthropoda; Insecta; Diptera; Calliphoridae. The record is from RefSeq and is a predicted model, not a curated record. The transcript is spliced from 3 exons.